RNAcentral lists this transfer RNA (778 nucleotides) under Bradyrhizobium sp. 05LoS22R8_36. RNAcentral's name for it is "16S-23S ribosomal RNA intergenic spacer". The stretch from base 189 to 262 matches the Rfam family "tRNA". The record is from RNAcentral. Lineage: Bacteria; Pseudomonadati; Pseudomonadota; Alphaproteobacteria; Hyphomicrobiales; Nitrobacteraceae.
CUAAGGAUGGUUCUUCAGAAGCUUGCUUCUAUCGAACCGUUUUAGAAACAUCAGUGGCCAACGGUCGUCAGGAUCGUUGAGCUGCAUUGGCGGGAUUUCGCCGUCUUCGUUUCUCUUUCUUCGCGGACGAACACGCGCUGGGGCUGCAACCUUGCAGAAUCCCUGGUCCUUGACUGGAUAUGCGUUAGGGGCUUGUAGCUCAGUUGGUUAGAGCGCGCGCUUGAUAAGCGUGAGGUCGGAAGUUCAAGUCUUCCCAGGCCCACCACACUCAUCGAGUGAGCAUUCGUCUUCUGGUUACGGGGCCAUAGCUCAGCUGGGAGAGCGCGUGCUUUGCAAGCAUGAGGUCGUCGGUUCGAUCCCGUCUGGCUCCACCAGAUGGUUUGAUCACCGGCUGCUCAUACCGUCGUCCGCGAAACAUCACUUCGCACUUACUAGUCCGGAUGGACAGUAAGCUGCGUGAUUUCUGACAUCGUAAAGAGGAGAUCGAUCCGAGUUGGAUCGGGCAACAAGUAAUUGUUGCGCGAUACUUCAUUAUCUCCGGAUCAUUUCGGCGCUCGUGCGUCUUCCAUUGUAGCUCACAAGGCUGCUUUGAAAGACAAGCGAGUUGUAAAUGAUCCUUUUAGCGAAGCUUGACCGCCUCGCUAUCGGAACGAUCUUACGAAGCAAGCUGGUCUUUCUAAUCAUUGUCCGGCUGCAGAUAGCGUUCAUCGAGGGCGCGUGCCCAAGGUAGUUCUGCAGACAACAUUCUGCCGAGUGUGUGGACAUUGAUAAUGAGAGC